RNAcentral lists this ribosomal RNA (637 nucleotides) under uncultured bacterium. RNAcentral describes it as "bacterial SSU rRNA". It matches the Rfam family "Bacterial small subunit ribosomal RNA", at positions 202 to 842 of the family's 1533-position model. The record is from RNAcentral.
UAAAGAUUCAUCGCUGAUAGAUAGGCAUGCGUUCCAUUAGGCAGUCGGCGGGGUAACGGCCCACCAAACCGACGAUGGAUAGGGGUUCUGAGAGGAAGGUCCCCCACAUUGGUACUGAGACACGGACCAAACUCCUACGGGAGGCAGCAGUGAGGAAUAUUGGUCAAUGGGCGUAAGCCUGAACCAGCCAAGUCGCGUGAGGGAUGAAGGUUCUAUGGAUCGUAAACCUCUUUUAUAAGGGAAUAAAGUGCGGGACGUGUCCCGUUUUGUAUGUACCUUAUGAAUAAGGAUCGGCUAACUCCGUGCCAGCAGCCGCGGUAAUACGGAGGAUCCGAGCGUUAUCCGGAUUUAUUGGGUUUAAAGGGUGCGUAGGCGGCCUUUUAAGUCAGCGGUGAAAGUCUGUGGCUCAACCAUAGAAUUGCCGUUGAAACUGGGAGGCUUGAGUAUGUUUGAGGCAGGCGGAAUGCGUGGUGUAGCGGUGAAAUGCUUAGAUAUCACGCAGAACCCCGAUUGCGAAGGCAGCCUGCCAAGCCAUGACUGACGCUGAUGCACGAAAGCGUGGGGAUCAAACAGGAUUAGAUACCCUGGUAGUCCACGCAGUAAACGAUGAUCACUAGCUGUUUGCGAUACAGUGUAA